This 253-nucleotide ribosomal RNA is filed under the name uncultured bacterium. RNAcentral describes it as "partial 16S ribosomal RNA". It matches the Rfam family "Bacterial small subunit ribosomal RNA", at positions 524 to 776 of the family's 1533-position model. The record is from RNAcentral.
GACAGAGGGUGCAAACGUUGUUCGGAAUUACUGGGCGUAAAGGGCGCGUAGGCGGCCUGUUAAGUCGAACGUGAAAUCCCCGGGCUCAACCCGGGAACUGCGUCCGAUACUGGCAGGCUUGAAUCCGGGAGAGGGAUGCGGAAUUCCAGGUGUAGCGGUGAAAUGCGUAGAUAUCGGGAGGAACACCCGUGGCGAAGGCGGCUUCCUGGGUCCAUCCUGACACUGAGGCGCGAAAGCGUGGGGAGCGAACGGG